GGAUCCGAUCAUACCAGCACUAAAGCACCGGAUCCCAUCAGAACUCUGAAGUUAAGCGUGCUUGGGCGAGAGUAGUACUAGGUUGGGUGACCUCCUGGGAAGUCCUCGUGUUGCAUUCC
This 119-nucleotide ribosomal RNA is filed under the name Triticum aestivum (bread wheat). The record is from RNAcentral. Lineage: Eukaryota; Viridiplantae; Streptophyta; Magnoliopsida; Poales; Poaceae.